Molecule: ribosomal RNA, 465 nt
Filed under: uncultured bacterium
Lineage: Bacteria
Description: partial 16S ribosomal RNA
Rfam family: Bacterial small subunit ribosomal RNA
Source: RNAcentral
CCUACGGGGGGCAGCAGUGGGGAAUAUUGCGCAAUGGGCGAAAGCCUGACGCAGCGACGCCGCGUGAGGGAUGAAGGUCUUCGGAUCGUAAACCUCUGUCAGCAGGGAAGAACGGUCACUGUGCUAAUCAGCAGUGAAUUGACGGUACCUGCAAAGGAAGCACCGGCUAACUCCGUGCCAGCAGCCGCGGUAAUACGGAGGGUGCGAGCGGUAAUCGGAUGUACUGGGCGUAAAGCGCUCGUAGGCGGUAUGUCAAGUCAAGGGUGAAAUCCCCGCGCUCAACGUGGGAACUGCCUUUGAAACUGGCAAACUGGAGUGUGUGAGAGGAUAGUGGAAUUCCAGGUGUAGGAGUGAAAUCCGUAGAUAUCGGGAGGAACAGCAGUGGCGAAGGCGACUAUCUGGCACAUAACUGACGCUGAGGAGCGAAAGCGUGGGUAGCAAACAGGAUUAGUUACCCGGGUAGUC